GGAGCAGGUGCCUCACAUGAUGAGAGGGGGAGCAAGAGAGAGUGGGGAGGUGCCGGGCUCUUCUAAGCAACCGGGUCUCAUGUGAACUCUUUGUAAGAGCUCACUGCUGCAGGGAGGGCACCAAGCCAUUGGUGAGGGAUCACCCCCAUGUCCAGACACCUCCCGCCAGGCCCCUCCUCCAGCGUCAGGGAUCACACUUCAGCAGGAGAGCUGCAGAGCACAAACAUCUGAACUAUCAGCAAGCUCUGGACAAAGAGGACGCUGACUUCUGCACGAACCCCUCCAGUUUCGGUGAAAUACUUCUCAAGGUACUAGUCUCAUCUUUUCCCAGAAAUGAAGGAUGGUCAGACUAUCUGGGAUUACAAGCAGAGAGCGAAAAUGUCCCUUUAACCCGAGGACACUGCAGGAAAGGUCCUUCUUCCCCUUGGGCAUUUUCCUCACGAUUGCUUUAGCCCGGCCCUCAGGCUAUGGAGUUCUCCUUUCCAUUCUGUGAAUACACUGGAACUGAAAAUAAGAUUUGGAAUAAACGUGUAUUUAUCAACAAAACAAAUAUUUCAUCGCUUGCUAAUUAUUAGUAAUUUGUAUUGGUUAGUUCUUGAAGGGAAAUUACCUAGAAAUGUAAGGAUUUAUGAAUACUGAAAAACAUAGACUAUCAUUUCUUUUAAUGUGUCCCUUUAGCCAACUUCAGGAAUACAAAGCUGAGUGGUUUCACCUCCCUUCAGUUUUGAGACGUGAUUUCAGCUCUGUCCGGGUUGAUGACAGAAAGUCACAUUCAAAUCUCUUGAUAUCAUAUCUAAAAAUCCUGCUUUAUGGCUUGGCAUGGUGGCUCACGCUGUAAUCCCAGCACUUUGGGAGGCCGAGGUAGGCGGAUCACCUGAGGUUGGGAGUUCAAGACCAGCUGAUCAACAUGGAGAAAUCCAGUCUCUACUAAAAACACAAAAUUAGCUGGGCGUGGUGGGCCAGCCUGUAAUCCUAGCUACUCGGGAUGUUGAUGUAGGAGAAUUGCUUGAACCUUUGAGGCAGAGGUUGUGGUGAGCCAAGAUUGUGCCAUUGCACUCCAGUCUGGGCCAAAAAAAAAUCCUGAUUUAUUAGAGAAACCUCCAGAGGAAAACAGCAUUUGAGACUUGGUGUGUGGUUAAUUGGACAGGGGAUGUGGAUCUGAGGGAGAGCUGAGUAUUUGUACCAGCAAAGGGACAGAAAGGGGAAUUUCGAGUAUCAAAAAAAAAAAAAACAAUAGGUGAUUAAACCUAUUGAAAAAAACAUAGGGAUAUGAAUUGCCUUGUAAAAAAAAAUCUGUAUUGAGAAAGAGAGUAGGAAAAAACAUUAGUUAAGGAAUGCUUUCAAGACAAAGUGAGUACUCAACAGG
This 1366-nucleotide long non-coding RNA is filed under the name Callithrix jacchus (white-tufted-ear marmoset). RNAcentral describes it as "lncRNA (ENSCJAG00000073958.1)". Lineage: Eukaryota; Metazoa; Chordata; Mammalia; Primates; Cebidae. The record is from RNAcentral.